GACGUAGGAGGCGAGCGUUAUCCGGAUUUACUGGGCGUAAAGGGCAAGUAGGCGGCGGUUCAAGUUGGACGUGACAUCUCCCGGCUCAACUGGGAGGGGUCGUUCAAAACUGGGUCGCUGGAGGGCAGGAGAGGGAAGCGGAAUUCCUGGUGUAGCGGUGGAAUGCUCAGAUACCAGGAGGAACACCAGUGGCGAAGGCGGCUUCCUGGCCUGUACCUGACGCUGAGAGGCGAAAGCCAGGGGAGCGAACGGGCUUAGAUACCCCGGUAGUCCUGGCCGUAAACGGUGGAUACUGGGUAUUGGGGGUGUAAGAUCCCUCAGUGCCGAAGCUAACGCGUUAAGUAUCCCGCCUGGGAACUACGACCGCAAGGUUAAAACUCAAAGGAAUUGACGGGGGCCCGCACAAGCAGCGGAGCGUGUGGUUUAAUUCGAUGCAACGCGAAGAACCUUACCUGGGCUUGACAUGCAUGUGGUAGGGAACCGAAAGGAGACCGACCCCUCGGGGAGCAUGCACAGGUGCUGCAUGGCU
This 529-nucleotide ribosomal RNA is filed under the name uncultured bacterium. RNAcentral's name for it is "bacterial SSU rRNA". It matches the Rfam family "Bacterial small subunit ribosomal RNA", at positions 524 to 1050 of the family's 1533-position model. The record is from RNAcentral.